Molecule: unclassified non-coding RNA, 459 nt
Organism: Leptinotarsa decemlineata (Colorado potato beetle)
Lineage: Eukaryota; Metazoa; Arthropoda; Insecta; Coleoptera; Chrysomelidae
Source: RefSeq, a predicted model, not a curated record
CACCGUAAGACGGAAUAAGAAGAAGAGGAAGAUGGCAUUUGACAUGUUAGUGUUCCCGAGUUUCCGCAUCCUAUUUAGCACGACCUUUUCAUCGUGGGGGCUUUGAAGUAGUAGCUGUUCCGAUUUUGUUUAAAUUGUCUAGAGAGACAAUCUAAUAUAAAAGUUCACAAAAAUGGGUUUUGAAAAUAUUUGGUUCUCUCAUCCUCGUAAAUACGGACAAGGCUCAAGAUCCUGCCGUUCCUGCUCAAACAGGCAUGGUUUAAUAAGGAAGUAUGGACUGAAUCUUUGCAGGCAGUGUUUCAGAGAAUAUGCAUUGAAUAUUGGAUUCAAGAAGUUGGACUAAGUUUCUGAUGUUGAUGUAAAUAAUGUUAAGUAAACUCAUUUUGAAUAAAUAACUGAGGAAUCAUGACAUUCUACUUAUUUCAGUGAAUGUGGUGCUGGAAGCUCAAAGAUUGAGUA